GCACUCUUAGCUCAGUUGGUAGAGCAGUUGACUCUUAAUCAAUUGGUCGGGGGUUCGAGUCCCCCAGAGUGCA
This 73-nucleotide transfer RNA is filed under the name Bacteroidota bacterium. RNAcentral's name for it is "Bacteroidetes bacterium (groundwater metagenome) tRNA-Lys". It matches the Rfam family "tRNA". Rfam says of the family: Transfer RNA (tRNA) molecules are approximately 80 nucleotides in length. The record is from RNAcentral. Lineage: Bacteria; Pseudomonadati; Bacteroidota.